GAUAUUCUCUUUAUAAAUAGAGCUAUGAAGAGAUUUAAAGGAUGUUAGGCUGCUUUGAAGGUGUAAGACCCCUUCCUUUCCUACCCAUCCUCCUCACUCCCUAGCUGGUCCCAGUGGCUCUCUCUCUCGGCAGAUUUGGUCUGUGUGUCCAUGUACUGGAGAGUCAGUGGGCGCUCAUUUCUCAGAGUUAUGAUGUCCUUGGCCUGGCCUGCUUUUACUCUGCUUGCUUAGAUCUGCUGCUCUAUGGAAAAGGAUUGCUGUGUCGGCCCUUUAGUGAGUGUCUGCGUUUCGUUCAAGUCUACGAGCACAGCCGUGUUCUAACCUCUCAGAGCAAUGUCAUGCUGGGGGUCCACUCCUCCCUGGCCAUGUGUACUGUAAGGAGUUCUUCUCUCAAUGUGUGACCUGCCCUGUCUAUCACCAGUGGGUAUCUGAGCUUAAGGCCUCUGUAAUGAGAUGUGAAAAGAGAGAAUUGAUGUCCCUGACUAACAGCAUCAGACCUUUUGACACCUGCUUGACCAGGAUUUGGAUAAAAGGAGAAUUUCUGCAGGAAAAUAACUCUUAGAAAAGAAACUUAGGAAUACAGAGAUUUGACAGAGUGGCUGAUGUCAAGGAGAACAAGGAUGCAGAAGAAACUCAAGAUGUAUGUAUUAAAACAAAAGAACAAUAACCUGAAGGGACCAUGAUUCUGUUAUUGUAUAUAACACAAGGAAAUGCCCCAGAUUCUCCUUUAAAAGAUAUAAUGUACAUAUUAA
This 752-nucleotide long non-coding RNA is filed under the name Homo sapiens (human). RNAcentral's name for it is "non-protein coding lnc-NFYA-1:11". Lineage: Eukaryota; Metazoa; Chordata; Mammalia; Primates; Hominidae. The record is from RNAcentral.